AACCUUUAGCCAAACAAGUAUUAAAGGCAACGCCUGCCCAGUGAACAAUUAAACGGCCGCGGUACCCUAACCGUGCAAAGGUAGCAUAAUCAUUUGUCUACUAAUUAUAGACCUGUAUGAAAGGCAAAAUGAGGGUUUAACUGUCUCUUAUAAUCAAUCAAUUAAACUGAUCUUCUAGUAAAAAAGCUAGAAUCCCACCAUAAGACCAGAAGACCCUGUGAAGCUUCAAUUAAACUAUUAAACCCCAUAAUAGCUAAUUUAGGUUGGGGCGACCUUGGAAACAAAAAGAACUUCCAAAAAAUGACUUACCUCAUACCAACACAGGCCCACAAGCCACAAAAUGACCCAGCACAGCUGAUAAACGGACCAAGCUACUCCAGGGAUAACAGCGCAAUCUUCUUCAAGAGCCCAUAUCAAAAAGAAGGUUUACGACCUCGAUGUUGGAUCAGGACAUCCUAAUGGUGCAGCCGCUAUUAAGGGUUCGUUUGUUCAACGAUUAAUAGUCCC
This 507-nucleotide ribosomal RNA is filed under the name Telescopus obtusus. RNAcentral describes it as "partial large subunit ribosomal RNA". It matches the Rfam family "Bacterial large subunit ribosomal RNA", at positions 1816 to 2597 of the family's 2925-position model. Lineage: Eukaryota; Metazoa; Chordata; Lepidosauria; Squamata; Colubridae. The record is from RNAcentral.